Molecule: transfer RNA, 82 nt
Filed under: Thermoplasmata archaeon
Lineage: Archaea; Methanobacteriati; Thermoplasmatota; Thermoplasmata
Also listed under: 2 other names
Description: tRNA-Leu
Rfam family: tRNA
About the family: Transfer RNA (tRNA) molecules are approximately 80 nucleotides in length.
Source: RNAcentral
GCGAGGGUAGCCAAGCGGUUAACGGCGACAGACUCAAGAUCUGUUCCUUAGUGGUUCGUCGGUUCGAAUCCGGCCCCUCGCA